UACGUAGGGCGCAAGCGUUGUUCGGAUUUACUGGGCGUAAAGGGCGCGUAGGCGGCCACCGCAAGUCGGUUGUGAAAUCUCCGGGCUUAACCCGGAAAGGUCAAUCGAUACUGCGGGGCUAGAGUGCAGAAGGGCAACUGGAAUUCUCGGUGUAGCGGUGAAAUGCGUAGAUAUCAGGAGGAACACCGGUGGCGAAGGCGGCUCUCUGGACGGUGACUGACGCUGAGACGCGAAAGCGUGGGGAGCAAACAGG
This 253-nucleotide ribosomal RNA is filed under the name uncultured bacterium. Its description in RNAcentral is "partial 16S ribosomal RNA". It matches the Rfam family "Bacterial small subunit ribosomal RNA", at positions 524 to 776 of the family's 1533-position model. The record is from RNAcentral.